RNAcentral lists this ribosomal RNA (279 nucleotides) under uncultured bacterium. Its description in RNAcentral is "partial 16S ribosomal RNA". It matches the Rfam family "Bacterial small subunit ribosomal RNA", at positions 506 to 784 of the family's 1533-position model. The record is from RNAcentral.
UGCCAGCAGCCGCGGUAAUACGGGAGGUGCAAGCGUUGUUCGGAUUGACUGGGCGUAAAGGGCACGUAGGCGGGUUCGCAAGUCGGAUGUGAAAGCCCCAGGCUUAACCUGGGAACUGCAUACGAAACUGCGGAUCUUGAAUGACUAAGAGGUUGGCGGAAUUCCUGGUGUAGGAGUGAAAUCCGUAGAGAUCAGGAGGAACAUCGGCGGCGAAGGCGGCCAACUGGUGGAUCAUUGACGCUGAGGUGCGAAAGCGUGGGGAGCAAACAGGAUUAGAUA